This 253-nucleotide ribosomal RNA is filed under the name uncultured bacterium. Its description in RNAcentral is "partial 16S ribosomal RNA". It matches the Rfam family "Bacterial small subunit ribosomal RNA", at positions 524 to 776 of the family's 1533-position model. The record is from RNAcentral.
UACGUAGGGGGCAAGCGUUGUCCGGAUUUACUGGGCGUAAAGCGUGCGCAGGCGGUUUUGUAAGACAGGCGUGAAAUCCCCGAGCUUAACUUGGGAAUGGCGCUUGUGACUGCAGGGCUAGAGUAUGUCAGAGGGGGGUAGAAUUCCACGUGUAGCAGUGAAAUGCGUAGAGAUGUGGAGGAAUACCGAUGGCGAAGGCAGCCCCCUGGGACGUCACUGACGCUCAUGCACGAAAGCGUGGGGAGCAAACAGG